CACCGGGCAGCAGGUCGCUCUCGGACGGUCGGUUAACCCGGGACCCACGCGGCCCACCGGGUAAGCGUGGCCCCACGCGUCAGUGACUGGUCCGGGCGGCGCGUUCCGGGGCGUGGGGACCCACGUGGCGGUGGGCCGUUCGUGCGUCCGAAGCUCCGGGAAAAGUCCCUCGCCGGCGGCGAGGCGAUCGCCGGAGCCGGAAGGGGUCUCGGCCGCGAUGGAGUCUGGGCCAAUUUCGCCCGGCCGGAUCGCAGGUGAGAGGUUCUGGAUUCCGCGGAACUUGCUUAUUCCCGUGCGGUCGUUGAUUAGUGGUGAAGCUAGCGCAGCGCAGCGCAGGCAGGGAUGGAUGGGAGCAUGGAAACUCUGGUGACCGAUCCGGCGACAAUGGCGUCACCAUCUUUCGAUUAUUGUGGGUGUGCUUGUCCCUGAUUAUCCGCUUGCUUCUUUGGGACUUGGGAGGCUUGUGGAUGUGGUGUUAGUUUUGAUCUGGAUUUGGGAGAGGGCAAACGGUACAGUGAAAGGUUGCUUGCACUGCCAGGAGGAUCAAGGAACUUGCCUAGUGCCUAGGAUCUGCGACUGGCUUAUUAGUAAUUUGUUAUAUUAUAGGUGUUGAAGAUGAUACUGAGGCUUCCUCUUAAUAAAUAUUCAUACAUCUCUGUCUGUCUGGCCCAGAUGAUUGUGAUUGGGUCAAUCUGGAUUCUGGAGCUCUGGGCCACUACAUCAUCCUUUAGGUUUGCCUUGCUACUGUUCAAAGUUCAUCAGCUGAUCAGAAGAACUAUUCUUGGUGCAAAAACCAGUUGAGUGACUCUGUGGUUCGCACUAUAAUGUUCAGGCUAGGAUUUGCUGCUCUGGUGUUUUGAGGAGGUAGUGUUUAGUGUUCUGUCCUGCAGCCUGCUUAGUUUCUGAAUAUACAGAAUGUUAUAGCAGCACAUGGAACUUGGGAUUUAUGCAUCAAUUUUCACUCCCAUAGAUUUUUGUGACCAAGUCAUCAGAAUUGACAUUUGUCGAGAUAUAAAGACCAGAACUGGCGUGGGUCACGGAUGGCUUGUCAGUGAGGCCAACCGGUGCAAAGAAAAAUGAGACAUUUGUCAGCUACUCGGCUUAUUCAUGUGACAAACAAAAAGUUCCAUGGAUGGAGUUGCAAUUUACAGAAGCGGGUAAGUAAGACCAUUACCAAGGUAUGUGCGCAGCUUUGUUUCGUCUUCUAAUUCGGGAGGACUACGAAUGCAAGUGAGUGGGAUGGUCGAUCAUGAUUAAAUGGGUCUUUUACUGAAGACUUGGUAAUUUCUGAAGAGUCCGGAUCCUAGGACACGCAUCACCUUCUUUUGUUUCUAUGGCGCUGAACAAUACUUCUCCCGACAACAUGUGGAUAAUUUAAUGUAUCUCUAAGCAAGUUGGGGUAAUUUGUGGUCCUUAUGCUCCAAUUCACACAGACACGUCGUAGGUGCAUUAAAUGCCUUUUUUUUCCUGAACAAGCAUAGUGGUUGAUUGUUUGUGUGGAUGGCAAUUACUUGUGAAAUGAGCACCUAGGUUUGGAUCAUGCAUCAUGGUUAUUCAUUUGUUCUGAAUGGCUAUAAUCUUAGUAUUUUGUUA
Molecule: long non-coding RNA, 1593 nt
Organism: Sorghum bicolor (sorghum)
Lineage: Eukaryota; Viridiplantae; Streptophyta; Magnoliopsida; Poales; Poaceae
Exons: 2
Source: RefSeq, a predicted model, not a curated record